ACCCAGUUGACGAGUCCCAAACAGGACGAAACAUAUAUCUUGAAU
Molecule: non-coding RNA, 45 nt
Filed under: Schistosoma curassoni
Lineage: Eukaryota; Metazoa; Platyhelminthes; Trematoda; Strigeidida; Schistosomatidae
Source: RNAcentral